GGUCAAGUGAAGAAGCGCAUACGGUGGAUGCCUUGGCAGUCAGAGGCGAUGAAAGACGUGGUAGCCUGCGAAAAGCUUCGGGGAGUCGGCAAACAGACUUUGAUCCGGAGAUGUCUGAAUGGGGGAACCCAGCCAUCAUAAGAUGGUUAUCUUGUACUGAAUACAUAGGUGCAAGAAGCGAACCAGGGGAACUGAAACAUCUAAGUACCCUGAGGAAAAGAAAUCAACCGAGAUUCCCUUAGUAGUGGCGAGCGAACGGGGACUAGCCCUUAAGUGGCUUUGAGAUUAGCGGAACGCUCUGGAAAGUGCGGCCAUAGUGGGUGAUAGCCCUGUACGCGAAAAUCUCUUAGUCAUGAAAUCGAGUAGGACGGAGCACGAGAAACUUUGUCUGAAUAUGGGGGGACCAUCCUCCAAGGCUAAAUACUACUGACUGACCGAUAGUGAACUAGUACCGUGAGGGAAAGGCGAAAAGAACCCCGGAGAGGGGAGUGAAAUAGAUCCUGAAACCGUAUGCGUACAAGCAGUGGGAGCCCACUUUGUUGGGUGACUGCGUACCUUUUGUAUAAUGGGUCAGCGACUUAUUUUCAGUGGCGAGCUUAACCGAAUAGGGGAGGCGUAGCGAAAGCGAGUCUUAAUAGGGCGUCUAGUCGCUGGGAAUAGACCCGAAACCGGGCGAUCUAUCCAUGGGCAGGUUGAAGGUUGGGUAACACUAACUGGAGGACCGAACCGACUACCGUUGAAAAGUUAGCGGAUGACCUGUGGAUCGGAGUGAAAGGCUAAUCAAGCUCGGAGAUAGCUGGUUCUCCUCGAAAGCUAUUUAGGUAGCGCCUCAUGUAUCACUGUAGGGGGUAGAGCACUGUUUCGGCUAGGGGGUCAUCCCGACUUACCAAACCGAUGCAAACUCCGAAUACCUACAAGUGCCGAGCAUGGGAGACACACGGCGGG
RNAcentral lists this ribosomal RNA (945 nucleotides) under Pseudomonas sp. CF150. RNAcentral's name for it is "bacterial LSU rRNA". It matches the Rfam family "Bacterial large subunit ribosomal RNA", at positions 1 to 995 of the family's 2925-position model. Lineage: Bacteria; Pseudomonadati; Pseudomonadota; Gammaproteobacteria; Pseudomonadales; Pseudomonadaceae. The record is from RNAcentral.